This 939-nucleotide long non-coding RNA is filed under the name Lupinus mutabilis. RNAcentral's name for it is "partial ncRNA". The record is from RNAcentral. Lineage: Eukaryota; Viridiplantae; Streptophyta; Magnoliopsida; Fabales; Fabaceae.
UGUGAAUGUGAGCAUGGAAGCAAAGCCUCUUAGAAGUGUUCCCUCUUCACACAACAACAUCUAUGGGGAAGGAAGUGGACCCUAUAAGAAGAAGAAAAGUGUUGUUUUUGUUGCUAUUCACACUGAAACAAAACCAGAAGCAAUAAUAAGUAACAACACUCCGAUCCAAACACCAAGUUAUUACCACAAGUUCUGUCUUUGUACUGAGCCUCAAAGGGGUGAGCUUUAUCAUCAAGUUCUUAUCUUUAACCACUUUGCAUGUAUUCCCAACCUAUAUGUCAUGUUUCUGAAUAUAUUUGUAUAUAUAAAUAUCAUGAUUAGAAGAUAAGCUUGACGAAAUGGUAACGUUGUUGCAGAGAGAAGACUGCGACGUACAUUUACCUUCCUCAUACCCGAUACUAAGUCGAUGUCUCGUGCACUAGGUCACCCUUUAUAUAAAUAUCAUGAUUUGGGUUUCUAAUCUUGCCAUGUAUUUAUAAUGUGAUAUCUAUAUUAGGAGGUAAAGUCUUUAAAGUUGAAUGUGAAAAAUAUUUAUACUAAUUGCAAGGUAAUGGGUCCAUACAUGGUCUUUUGAAUGAGAUUUGGGUGUGGGGUUUAUCAAAUAACUAGCUUUUGUGGUCAAUGGUAAGGUUAUUGUACUGUGACCCGGAAUCGAAAGUCAUGGGUUCAAAUCGUGGAAAAAGUCUGUCUGUUUAUGUGAGUUAUAUCGUGCAUAUUUACCCUCCUUAGACUCCAUUAGGUAGGGAGUAUGAGUCUCCUACACUAUGCCCUUUGGAUUGAGUUUUUGUUUAGUAGAGUAAUUUUCUUGUAGAUUUCAAUUUCAAUUAAUGUAAGAAACCAAUUUUGUGAUUUUGAUAUGUUAAAAAGAUAGGCUAAAUUUCAAGGCUUUUUGAUUCUAUAACUAUAUGUGACUUUUAUAAGGGAAGAUAAUGUUUUUAU